CCUACGGGCGGCAGCAGUGAGGAAUAUUGGUCAAUGGCCGUAAGGCUGAACCAGCCAAGUAGCGUGAGGGAAGACUGCCCUAUGGGUUGUAAACCUCUUUUAUGCGGGGAUAAAGGUGUCCACGUGUGGAUGUUUGCAGGUACCGCAUGAAUAAGGACCGGCUAAUUCCGUGCCAGUAGCCGCGGUAAUACGGAAGGUCCGGGCGUUAUCCGGAUUUAUUGGGUUUAAAGGGAGCGUAGGCCGGUCUUUAAGCGUGCCGGGAAAUUUUGUGGCUCAACCAUGAGAGUGCGGCGCGAACUGGAGACCUUGAGUGCGCGGAAGGCAGGCGGAAUUCGUGGGGUAGCGGUGAAAUGCUUAGAUAUCACGAAGAACCCCGAUUGCGAAGGCAGCCUGCCGCAGCGUUACUGACGCUGAAGCUCGAAAGCGCGGGUAUCGAACAGGAUUAGAUACCCUAGUAGUC
This 460-nucleotide ribosomal RNA is filed under the name uncultured bacterium. Its description in RNAcentral is "partial 16S ribosomal RNA". It matches the Rfam family "Bacterial small subunit ribosomal RNA", at positions 338 to 795 of the family's 1533-position model. The record is from RNAcentral.